Molecule: unclassified non-coding RNA, 244 nt
Filed under: Hevea brasiliensis (rubber tree)
Lineage: Eukaryota; Viridiplantae; Streptophyta; Magnoliopsida; Malpighiales; Euphorbiaceae
Source: RNAcentral
UGAUGCUGACAAAAAGGGGGAGAAGUGGAUGACUUUAUUUUGUGGAUAUUAUUUUGAUGAUCAUUGUGUAGCUCCAUGGAUUGAUGAAUGAAUUUAUUUUGUGGAUCGACUUUUGGAAAGAAAAUUCUUAUAUUGUGGAUAUUAUUGUGGAUAAUAUAUUAUGUACAUAAUUGUUGAUGUCCUUGCUUGAAACCAUUUGUGGCUAAUAUGUUUGUGAAUAUUUUAUUGAAAUUAUUAAGGGGGA